Molecule: ribosomal RNA, 944 nt
Filed under: Oyamia nigribasis
Lineage: Eukaryota; Metazoa; Arthropoda; Insecta; Plecoptera; Perlidae
Description: SSU rRNA
Rfam family: Eukaryotic small subunit ribosomal RNA
Source: RNAcentral
UGCAGCCAAUUAGGUGAACCGCGAAUGGCUCAUUAAAUCAGUUAUGGUUCCUUAGAUAAUACUCCAAGUUACUUGGAUAACUGUGGUAAUUCUAGAGCUAAUACAUGCAAACAGAGUUCCGACUCGAGAGGGGAGGAACGCUUUUAUUAGAUCAAAACCAAUCGGUCGCCGGCGUUCGCGCUGCGCGCAUCGUAUUGAUUUGGUGACUCUGAAUAACCACUUAGCAGAUCGCACGGUCUCGUACCGGCGACGCAUCUUUCAAAUGUCUGCCUUAUCAACUGUCGAUGGUAGGCUCUGCGCCUACCAUGGUUGUAACGGGUAACGGGGAAUCAGGGUUCGAUUCCGGAGAGGGAGCCUGAGAAACGGCUACCACAUCCAAGGAAGGCAGCAGGCGCGCAAAUUACCCACUCCCGGCACGGGGAGGUAGUGACGAAAAAUAACGAUACGGGACUCAUCCGAGGCCCCGUAAUCGGAAUGAGCACAACUUAAAUACUUUAACGAGUAUCCAUUGGAGGGCAAGUCUGGUGCCAGCAGCCGCGGUAAUUCCAGCUCCAAUAGCGUAUAUUAAAGUUGUUGCGGUUAAAAAGCUCGUAGUUGGACUUGUGUCCCACGCCGUCGGUUCGUCGCCCGUCGACGUAACCGCACGGUUAUGUGAGUGGGACGUCCAGCCGGUGGGUCGUCAGGUCGCGCGCUCAGCUGGCCGCGCCCCUUGGCGGUGUCCAAUCCGUGGCCUCGCCGUGACGUGUGUCGGGCGGCGGCGGUCUUCUGGCCGUCUCCCCUGGCCCGUCGCUAAAAGCGGCGUGUGUUGCGGGGCCUGCCUCGUAGGGUGUCGCUGUGUCGGCGCGCGCGGUGCCGGACCCAUGUUACUCGUCUCGGUGCUCUUAAUCGAGUGUCUUGACGGGCCGGCUCGUUUACUUUGAACAAAUUAGAGUGCUUAAAGCAGG